RNAcentral lists this ribosomal RNA (554 nucleotides) under Petrolisthes caribensis 'Blue'. RNAcentral describes it as "partial 16S large subunit ribosomal RNA". It matches the Rfam family "Bacterial large subunit ribosomal RNA", at positions 1801 to 2617 of the family's 2925-position model. The record is from RNAcentral. Lineage: Eukaryota; Metazoa; Arthropoda; Malacostraca; Decapoda; Porcellanidae.
UGUUUAACAAAAACAUGUCUGUAUGAAGUUAAAUAGAGUCUAUUCUGCCCAUUGAAUAAAAAUUUAAAAGGCCGCAGUAUUCUGACUGUGCAAAGGUAGCAUAAUCAUUAGUUUUUUAAUUGAAGGCUUGUAUGAAUGAUUGGACAAGAAUUAAGCUGUCUCUUUCAAUAAUAUUUGAAUUUUAUUUUUAAGUGAAAAAGCUUAAAUGAUUAAGAAAGACGAUAAGACCCUAUAAAUCUUUAUGUAAAUUAAUUUUUAAGUUAAAAUAUAAGGUUAAUUAGGCUUAAAGAAUUAGUUCAUUAUGCUGGGGCGGUAGUGAUAUAAAGAAAGAACUGUCAUUAUAAAAAACAAGUAUAUUUGUAAAGUAAAAGAUCCUGAUAUUUGGAUUUAAAGUGAAAGUUACUUUAGGGAUAACAGCAUAAUUUCUUUUGAGAGUUCAAAUCGAAAAAGAAGCUUGUGACCUCGAUGUUGAAUUAAGAGAUCCUUUAUGGUGCAGCAGCUAUAAGAGGGAGUCUGUUCGACUCUUAAAUUCUUACAUGAUCUGAGUCAACCCC